Molecule: long non-coding RNA, 3211 nt
Organism: Felis catus (domestic cat)
Lineage: Eukaryota; Metazoa; Chordata; Mammalia; Carnivora; Felidae
Exons: 4
Source: RefSeq, a predicted model, not a curated record
GUUCUCUAAAAGUUAAAAAAUAUACAAGUGUACACUUGUUAGGAAAAAAGUACUGGCCUCAGAAACUCAAAAAUUCUUUGCAUUUCGUUAUUCUGGAAGAAUCUACAUUAUCAACACACGCACUAGCAGAGGACCGCAGUAGCUCUGGUACGUGCCCCAAGGUCCUGGGUUCACUUAGGAUCAGAUGCUUUACUCCCCAUUGAGACUGUGAAUACCUCAUUUGGGGACUACAGGAGGCCCUGGUUCUCCUCACCCAAGGGAGACCAUCUAGAAGGCAUCCUAUAGUUUCUCACAGUGCAGUCAUUCAAGGCCUGUUUCCUAUUCUAUGGGCUCAGAAGCCACUCCCAACCCCAAGCCAGUGCAGAAAAACAAAAUGACGUAGAUCAGAACUAGAUUCUCCUGCUAUUCCCACAAAUAAAAUUUUUCACAAGAAUCUAAAAAAAGUGAUCGCAUAACUCUUGAAUGAGCUAAUAAUUUUCACCGCUGAGAAGUAAAUCCGAUGACUUUUCCCCCAGUUGAAGCUCACGUAUGUGUGAAGUUAUCCAGGUGGAAGGGGUGGGGAGAGAAGAAAGGGUUAAGAGAUGAAAAUAAAACAACCCUGCUUACAAGAUCCUAUUUAUGUAAAAAUUACAUUUGUGAAGGAAUGGAGGAAUCUAAAAUAUUAAAAGAAAGCUAAGAAAGUGCUUAUACAUUAUGAACACUGGCAAAGGAUCUGAACAGUUUUCAGGAGUGUAAAUACAAUUGAUCAGCAUUUUUAAAAACAUCAGUGUCUUUGGUCCACAAGACCAUUCUUUUCCCACCACGUACGCUCCGACGAGUGCAGUUACGUGAGCAUUGCCUCCACCAACAGGGCGGGAGGAGCAUAACGGAGCACUGUCCUUUGGAAAACAGCUUGGAAAUAAAUUCCUACUGUCUCAGAAAUAUCCAAACACUGGACUCAGUGAUUUUACAUUUCAGAAUCUAUCUGAAGGAACAACCUCAAAAUGUAAAGAACAGUGUGUAAACAGAAGAAUGAACUUCCAAGUUCACCAGUAUGGGCACAGCUAAAUCGUGUUCAGUAGACAUGUACCCAACAGAGUGAUGUUAGCCUUUUUGGAGGACAGACAUUAUGAAUGCUCAUCACGGAUGUGGGCAAAUGCUUAAAUCUUGCCAUAACUAGAAAAAAAGUUGGAUACAAAGUUGCAUGUGGAAUGUAUGCUUCCAAGAAAAUUUUAAUCAGAUCCUUUUGCUAGACUGCCUGUUAAAAAUUCAUCCUAGUUAUUAAAUACAACUGUUAUAUUUUUCCCUCCUGUUUUAAGCAACAGGUAAUUGCUCAGAGAGGUGCCUAGGUGAACAGGUUUUACACUUGGGCCAGGAGUAUAAUGUUUGCAUGUUGAGCUGGGUUGGCCCUAGAGAUAAUUUAUUAAUGUUCUCUGACAUUUCGGGACAUCCUUAGCUGCGAAUGCAAAUAUAUGUUGCUGCCCCAAUUCACCAAACUUUUGGUUGAUGGUCUGGGUCUCUUAGAGACUGUGUUAUAUUUAUUUUCUUCUAGGCAGUGGUGACAAUUUUCUGUCCUAGAAUGAAUUACAAGGGAAGAAGCUUCUAUCUGUGACAGAGAACCUACAUAGGUCUCAAGAGGAAACUCAGGUGAUGAAAGGGAUAAGUGCAUCUCGGGUCCCAGACAAGGGAUACAGAUUCCUCCAUAUGACCUUCCACAGGACUGUAUACCCGAUUCUCCAUUUGAUGUUCCAGGAUGAAGUCAAACAGGAGAAAAAAAGAACUGAGGUGAGGGACAGAUGAAGGCAAAAUGUUGAUAACUGUUCAAGGUGGGUAAUGGGUAUACGGAUUGAUUAUUCUCUCUACUUUUGCAUGCGUAUUUUCAAAAGCUGCUGUAUUAUAAAGUUGAAAAAAAGAAAAUGAAUCAAUAUUCAUCACUCAAUACAAUGCUGCCUUUUCUCUGCCAAAGGAUUAUAAUUUACCUGUUCUAAUGGGAGCUUUGAGAUCCAGGUAAUAUCCAGUAGAGUCUUCCUCUGACUUUUGGGAGCAUCUCUCAGAUGUAGAAAGAGUUCUUGUGCAUUUAGGUUACAGAGCUGACACACACCGUGUUCAAUUUCAAAUACUUUGGCUCGCAGGUAAUUGUUAUUAGAUCGAAUCCAAAACUCUUCCUGACACUUCAGAGAGCAAAACCGUGACUCCCAAGCGUUCACUUUGCACUCUUGCUUAGUUUGGCAGGUGGGUUGCUGACAGUGAAGGCAAAGCGGAUUUCCUGCAUUAUCCACAGCUUGCAGAUAGCCUUUGGAUAUAGAAGGCUUCACAGCGAGAUCAGCUUGGGCUAUGCAGGGAUUUAGAAAUGGGACAGAGACUCCAUCAUCAAGGAACUUUCUGGAAGUGAACAAAACAUUGACUAAGUAAUGAACACGUACACUCGUCUAAAUAGUCACUACUUCAUGUAACAGCCUUUAAAGUUUCAAUACUGAUAACCAGUAAAUGUAGGACUCAUGGAUUCUGUGACUGAGUGUGGAAAUGAAACAGCCAUAGUCAGCACUCGAUGCUCCAUGCCAAAUGAAGGAAAGAAUGAUGUGUUAAAAAAAUUCAUUUGAAUAUAAAUAUGCUGCCUCUCUUGGGAGUUUAUAUAUCUUCAAGUUAAACAACCAGACUUUGAAACAUCUGGAGAAGUUGGAAAAUGAGAAGUUAAAAAUGCUUCUUCAAUCUGGGAAAGGACGGGCUAAUGUAAAACCCCACUUGGAGUUGGGGCUACUGUACUCUACAUGUGUUGGGCCACACACCUCACUAGGACACAGAGACCAUUAUGAAGGCUUCCACGACACUCUCGGGGAGCCCCUGUGGGCCUACCGGAAACAGUCACAUCCGUAAAGUGACAGAGCCAAGAAGCUAAUGGUGUUGACAGGAACUGUCAACAUUAGACUUGCUAAAUAUGUGCCUCCUCCAGGACUGUUUGUUAGAAGUGUUAAAAGAAAAACUCUUUGUGAUAGAAAAAGCUCAUGACUGGGAAGCGGAGCCCAGAUUAGACCUUGGGCCUCCUAGCAUCUAAUGGCUUUGGGCAGGUCACUUGGUCCACCUGGUCUCAGGAUCCUUCUAAUUUCUAAGAAGGGUCCUGUGGCCUGGACUCCUUUGUGAUCAGACGAACAUGGCCCCCAUCAUUCUUGACCUUGUCCAGUGAGGCUACAGCAACAUCUUCUUUGCUGAUGUAUCUAAAACAAUUACAUGGUGA